Molecule: ribosomal RNA, 1104 nt
Filed under: Triticum aestivum (bread wheat)
Lineage: Eukaryota; Viridiplantae; Streptophyta; Magnoliopsida; Poales; Poaceae
Description: partial small subunit ribosomal RNA
Source: RNAcentral
AUGAAGGGCGCCAUCGUUCUCCUCGGUCUUGUUGUGGUGGGGGCGCUUGUUGGUGCGGUCGCCGCCAGCGCUGGGGUGGUGCGGCGGCCGGUGGUGCCGGCGAUGUUCGUGCUUGGGGACUCAACGCUGGACGUGGGCAACAACAACCACCUGCCGGGGAAGGACGUGCCCAGGGCCAACCAGCCUUUCUACGGCGUCGACUUCCCCGGCCGCGCCAUUGCCACCGGACGUUUCAGCAACGGCUACAACAUCGCCGACUUCAUCGCAAAGUACCUGGGGUUCGAGAAGAGCCCUCUGGCCUAUCUGGUACUUAAAUCACGCAACUAUCUCAUCCCUAGCGCUCUCACGAGAGGUGUGAGCUACGCUUCAGCUGGAGCUGGGAUCCUCGACUCCACUAGUGCCGAGAUCAGCAUCCCAUUGUCGAAGCAGGUACGCUACUUUGCGGCGACCAAGGCUGAGAUGGAAGCCGCAGUUGGCAGAGGCAACGUGUCCAGGCUCCUCGCUCACUCCUUCUUCCUCCUCGGCGUUGGCAGCAACGACCUGUUCCAGUCCACGGCGACCACCCAGGGCGAUGUCAUUGCGCUCUACACUGCUCUCAUCUCCAACUACACGGCAGCGAUCACUGAUUUGUAUGGGAUGGGGGCGAGGAAGUUCGGGUUCAUCAGUGUCAGCCCGCUGGGCUGCGUGCCAGCGGUGCGCGUGCUCAAUGCGACGGGGGCAUGUAACGAUGCCAUGAACCAGAUCGCCAUGGGAUUCACCGCCACGCUUAAGUCUGCACUCGCCGGCCUCGCCCCGAAGCUCCCAGGCCUCGUCUACUCCCUCGGCGACUCCUUCGCUGCCUUGGAGACAACCUUCUCCAACCCGCAAGCAGCUGGGUACGAGAACGCAGACAGCGCGUGCUGCGGGAGCGGGAGGCUGGGCGCGGAGGGCGGCUACUGCACGCGGAACUCCAAGCUGUGCACCGACCACGACGCCUAUGUGUACUGGGACUGGAUCCACUCCACGCAGCGGGCUGCCGAGCUGGGUGCCCAGGCGCUCUUCAAUGAGGGCCCGGCCCAGGUCACCGCACCCAUCAGCUUCGGGCAAUUGGCCCACGAGAGAUAA